RNAcentral lists this ribosomal RNA (370 nucleotides) under Holothuria scabra. RNAcentral describes it as "partial 12S ribosomal RNA". It matches the Rfam family "Microsporidia small subunit ribosomal RNA", at positions 752 to 1206 of the family's 1311-position model. Lineage: Eukaryota; Metazoa; Echinodermata; Holothuroidea; Aspidochirotida; Holothuriidae. The record is from RNAcentral.
AGAACUGUCAAGCUCUAGUCACCAGAGCAGUACGGUCAACUAAAACUUAAAGAACUUGGCGGUUUUCUAGAUCUCCUUGGAGGAGCUUGUCAUCGAAUUGAUAACCCACAAGAUACCUCACCAACUCAAGACUUAUCAGCUUGUAUACCAUCGUCGUCAGCUCACAUCAAAAGAGAGUAAGCCAAAUGGAAAAUACCCACAACGUCAGAUCAAGGUGCAGCUAAUGAGCUGGGGAUAGAUGAGCUACUUUAUUCACAAAACAGAGGAAGUAACCAUGAAAAACUUACCGAAAAAGGAUUCAACAGUAACAAAGUAAAUAAAAACUUUGUGAACCAAGCUCUAGAAUGCGCACACACCGCCCGUCACCCUC